CCUACGGGAGGCAGCAGUGGGGAAUAUUGGACAAUGGGGGGAACCCUGAUCCAGCCAUGCCGCGUGUGUGAAGAAGGCCCUCGGGUUGUAAAGCACUUUCAGUGAGGAAGAACGCCUGGUGGUUAAUACCCAUCAGGAAAGACAUCACUCACAGAAGACGCACCGGCUAACUCCGUGCCAGCAGCCGCGGUAAUACGGAGGGUGCGAGCGUUAAUCGGAAUUACUGGGCGUAAAGCGCGCGUAGGUGGCUUGAUAAGCCGGUUGUGAAAGCCCCGGGCUCAACCUGGGAACGGCAUCCGGAACUGUCAAGCUAGAGUGCAGGAGAGGAAGGUAGAAUUCCCGGUGUAGCGGUGAAAUGCGUAGAGAUCGGGAGGAAUACCAGUGGCGAAGGCGGCCUUCUGGACUGACACUGACACUGAGGUGCGAAAGCGUGGGUAGCAAACAGGAUUAGAUACCCCGGUAGUC
This 465-nucleotide ribosomal RNA is filed under the name Vreelandella stevensii. RNAcentral describes it as "partial 16S ribosomal RNA". It matches the Rfam family "Bacterial small subunit ribosomal RNA", at positions 338 to 795 of the family's 1533-position model. Lineage: Bacteria; Pseudomonadati; Pseudomonadota; Gammaproteobacteria; Oceanospirillales; Halomonadaceae. The record is from RNAcentral.